GACGAACGCUGGCGGUGUGCUUAACACAUGCAAGUCGAACGGUAAGGCCCUUUCGGGGGUACACGAGUGGCGAACGGGUGAGUAACACGUGAGUAACCUGCCCUCAUCUCUGGGAUAACAGUCGGAAACGGUUGCUAAUACUGGAUAUGAGCUUGCAAGGCAUCUUGUGGGUUGGAAAGAUAUUUUUUGGUUGGGGAUGGACUCGCGGCCUAUCAGCUUGUUGGUGAGGUAGUGGCUCACCAAGGCUUCGACGGGUAGCCGGCCUGAGAGGGCGACCGACCACAUUGGGACUGAGAUACGGCCCAGACUCCUACGGGAGGCAGCAGUGGGGAAUAUUGCACAAUGGACGGAAGUCUGAUGCAGCAACGCCGCGUGCGGGAUGACGGCCUUCGG
This 393-nucleotide ribosomal RNA is filed under the name Arachnia propionica. RNAcentral describes it as "bacterial SSU rRNA". It matches the Rfam family "Bacterial small subunit ribosomal RNA", at positions 28 to 421 of the family's 1533-position model. The record is from RNAcentral. Lineage: Bacteria; Bacillati; Actinomycetota; Actinomycetes; Propionibacteriales; Propionibacteriaceae.